ACGGGUGAGGAAUACAUCGGAAUCUGCCUUGUUGUGGGGGAUAACGUAGGGAAACUUACGCUAAUACCGCAUAAGACCGAAAGGUGAAAGUGGGGGACCGCAAGGCCUCACGCGACAAGAUGAGCCGAUGUCGGAUUAGCUAGUUGGUGAGGUAAUGGCUCACCAAGGCGACGAUCCGUAGCUGGUCUGAGAGGAUGAUCAGCCACACUGGAACUGAGACACGGUCCAGACUCCUACGGGAGGCAGCAGUGGGGAAUAUUGGACAAUGGGCGCAAGCCUGAUCCAGCCAUGCCGCGUGGGUGAAGAAGGCCUUCGGGUUGUAAAGCCCUUUUGUUGGGGAAGAAAUCGUACGGGGUAAUAUCCCGUGCGGAUGACGGUACCCAAAGAAUAAGCACCGGCUAACUUCGUGCCAGCAGCCGCGGUAAUACGAAGGGUGCAAGCGUUACUCGGAAUUACUGGGCGUAAAGCGUGCGUAGGCGGUUCGUUAAGUCUGUCGUGAAAGCCCUGGGCUCAACCUGGGAAUUGCGAUGGAUACUGGCGAGCUAGAGUACGGUAGAGGAUGGUGGAAUUCCCGGUGUAGCGGU
This 584-nucleotide ribosomal RNA is filed under the name uncultured Dokdonella sp. RNAcentral's name for it is "bacterial SSU rRNA". It matches the Rfam family "Bacterial small subunit ribosomal RNA", at positions 102 to 682 of the family's 1533-position model. Lineage: Bacteria; Pseudomonadati; Pseudomonadota; Gammaproteobacteria; Lysobacterales; Rhodanobacteraceae. The record is from RNAcentral.